GGCGAACGCUGGCGGCGUGCUUAACACAUGCAAGUCGAACGGUGAAGCGCCUUCCUUUUUGGUGGGUGUGGAUGAGUGGCGAACGGGUGAGUAACACGUGAGUAACCUGCCCCCUUCUUCUGGAUAACCGCAUGAAAGUGUGGCUAAUACGGGAUAUUCUGGGUCUGUCGCAUGAUGGGUCUGGGAAAGAUAUUGUUUCGGUGGGGGAUGGGCUCGCGGCCUAUCAGCUUGUUGGUGGGGUGAUGGCCUACCAAGGCGGUGACGGGUAGCCGGCCUGAGAGGGUGGACGGUCACACUGGGACUGAGACACGGCCCAGACUCCUACGGGAGGCAGCAGUGGGGAAUAUUGCACAAUGGGCGCAAGCCUGAUGCAGCGACGCCGCGUGAGGGAUGGAGGCCUUCGGGUUGUGAACCUCUUUCGCCAGUGAAGCAGGCCUGCCUCGUUUGUGGGUGGGUUGACGGUAGCUGGAGAAGAAGCGCCGGCUAACUACGUG
This 494-nucleotide ribosomal RNA is filed under the name uncultured bacterium. RNAcentral's name for it is "partial 16S ribosomal RNA". It matches the Rfam family "Bacterial small subunit ribosomal RNA", at positions 28 to 507 of the family's 1533-position model. The record is from RNAcentral.